GUAUUGGUUCUUCGCGACAAUAAGCCGUCAACCCCGUCAGGUCCGGAAGGAAGCAGCGGUAGCGGUGAUUUGGGUGCCGAAGGGUGCUGGUACAGA
RNAcentral lists this signal recognition particle RNA (96 nucleotides) under Dichelobacter nodosus. Its description in RNAcentral is "signal recognition particle sRNA small type". It matches the Rfam family "Bacterial small signal recognition particle RNA". Rfam says of the family: The signal recognition particle (SRP) is a universally conserved ribonucleoprotein involved in the co-translational targeting of proteins to membranes. RNAcentral also lists the same sequence under 1 other name. Lineage: Bacteria; Pseudomonadati; Pseudomonadota; Gammaproteobacteria; Cardiobacteriales; Cardiobacteriaceae. The record is from RNAcentral.